GACGAACGCUGGCGGCGUGCCUAAGACAUGCAAGUCGUGCGGACACCUUCGGGUGUUAGCGGCGGACGGGUGAGUAACACGUGGAUAACCUGCCUGAUGCUCCGGAAUAACAGACCGAAAGGUCUGCUAAUGCCGGGUAAGCUCACGGAGCCGCAUGGCUUUGGGAGAAAAGGCGCUUUACGGCGCUGGCAACAGAGGGGUCCGCGGCCCAUUAGCUAGUUGGCGGGGUAACGGCCCACCAAGGCGACGAUGGGUAGCCGGCCUGAGAGGGCGACCGGCCACACUGGGACUGAGACACGGCCCAGACUCCUACGGGAGGCAGCAGUCGGGAAUUUUGCACAAUGGCCGAAAGGCUGAUGCAGCAACGCCGCGUGAGUGAUGAAGGCCUUCGGGUUGUAAAGCUCUGUUGCCCGUGACGAAAGGCUCGCUCAGGAAAUGGGGCGAGUUUGACGGUAGCGGGAGAGGAAGCCCCGGCUAACUACGUGCCAGCAGCCGCGGUAAUACGUAGGGGGCAAGCGUUGUCCGGAUUUAUUGGGCGUAAAGGGCGUGUAGGCGGCCUGGUAAGUCGGGGGUGAAAACUCAGGGCUCAACCCUGAGACUGCCUUCGAUACUGCUGGGCUUGAGUGCUCUAGAGGGUAGUGGAAUUGCCGGUGUAGCAGUGAAAUGCGUAGAGAUCGGCAGGAACACCAGUGGCGAAGGCGACUGCCUGGGGAGUAACUGACGCUGAGGCGCGAAAGCUGGGGGAGCAAACGGGAUUAGAUACCCCGGUAGUCCCAGCCGUAAACGAUGAGUGCUAGGUGUGAGGGGUAUCGACCCCCCUCGUGCCGCAACAAACGCAAUAAGCACUCCGCCUGGGGAGUACGGCCGCAAGGUUG
RNAcentral lists this ribosomal RNA (875 nucleotides) under uncultured bacterium. RNAcentral describes it as "bacterial SSU rRNA". It matches the Rfam family "Bacterial small subunit ribosomal RNA", at positions 28 to 896 of the family's 1533-position model. The record is from RNAcentral.